Molecule: ribosomal RNA, 496 nt
Filed under: uncultured bacterium
Lineage: Bacteria
Description: partial 16S ribosomal RNA
Rfam family: Bacterial small subunit ribosomal RNA
Source: RNAcentral
AUGAACGCUGGCGGCGUGCCUAAUACAUGCACGUCGAGCGAACAGACGAGGAGCUUGCUCCUCUGACGUUAGCGGCGGACGGGUGAGUAACACGUGGAUAACCUACCUAUAAGACUGGGAUAACUUCGGGAAACCGGAGCUAAUACCGGAUAAUAUAUUGAACCGCAUGGUUCAAUAGUGAAAGACGGUUUUGCUGUCACUUAUAGAUGGAUCCGCGCCGCAUUAGCUAGUUGGUAAGGUAACGGCUUACCAAGGCAACGAUGCGUAGCCGACCUGAGAGGGUGAUCGGCCACACUGGAACUGAGACACGGUCCAGACUCCUACGGGAGGCAGCAGUAGGGAAUCUUCCGCAAUGGGCGAAAGCCUGACGGAGCAACGCCGCGUGAGUGAUGAAGGUCUUCGGAUCGUAAAACUCUGUUAUUAGGGAAGAACAAAUUUGUAAGUAACUAUGCACGUCUUGACGGUACCUAAUCAGAAAGCCACGGCUAACUACGUG